This 1476-nucleotide ribosomal RNA is filed under the name Salmonella enterica subsp. enterica serovar Weltevreden. Its description in RNAcentral is "partial 23S ribosomal RNA". It matches the Rfam family "Bacterial large subunit ribosomal RNA", at positions 711 to 2167 of the family's 2925-position model. RNAcentral also lists the same sequence under 1 other name. Lineage: Bacteria; Pseudomonadati; Pseudomonadota; Gammaproteobacteria; Enterobacterales; Enterobacteriaceae. The record is from RNAcentral.
AGACCCGAAACCCGGUGAUCUAGCCAUGGGCAGGUUGAAGGUUGGGUAACACUAACUGGAGGACCGAACCGACUAAUGUUGAAAAAUUAGCGGAUGACCUGUGGCUGGGGGUGAAAGGCCAAUCAAACCGGGAGAUAGCUGGUUCUCCCCGAAAGCUAUUUAGGUAGCGCCUCGUGAAUUCAUCUCCGGGGGUAGAGCACUGUUUCGGCUAGGGGGCCAUCCCGGCUUACCAACCCGAUGCAAACUGCGAAUACCGGAGAAUGUUAUCACGGGAGACACACGGCGGGUGCUAACGUCCGUCGUGAAGAGGGAAACAACCCAGACCGCCAGCUAAGGUCCCAAAGUCAUGGUUAAGUGGGAAACGAUGUGGGAAGGCCCAGACAGCCAGGAUGUUGGCUUAGAAGCAGCCAUCAUUUAAAGAAAGCGUAAUAGCUCACUGGUCGAGUCGGCCUGCGCGGAAGAUGUAACGGGGCUAAACCAUGCACCGAAGCUGCGGCAGCGACGCUUAUGCGUUGUUGGGUAGGGGAGCGUUCUGUAAGCCUGUGAAGGUGGCCUGUGAGGGUUGCUGGAGGUAUCAGAAGUGCGAAUGCUGACAUAAGUAACGAUAAAGCGGGUGAAAAGCCCGCUCGCCGGAAGACCAAGGGUUCCUGUCCAACGUUAAUCGGGGCAGGGUGAGUCGACCCCUAAGGCGAGGCCGAAAGGCGUAGUCGAUGGGAAACGGGUUAAUAUUCCCGUACUUGGUGUUACUGCGAAGGGGGGACGGAGAAGGCUAUGUUGGCCGGGCGACGGUUGUCCCGGUUUAAGCGUGUAGGUGUGUGUUCCAGGUAAAUCCGGUUCACUUUAACACUGAGGCGUGACGACGAGGCACUACGGUGCUGAAGCAACAAAUGCCCUGCUUCCAGGAAAAGCCUCUAAGCAUCAGGUAACAUCAAAUCGUACCCCAAACCGACACAGGUGGUCAGGUAGAGAAUACCAAGGCGCUUGAGAGAACUCGGGUGAAGGAACUAGGCAAAAUGGUGCCGUAACUUCGGGAGAAGGCACGCUGACACGUAGGUGAAGUGAUUUACUCAUGGAGCUGAAGUCAGUCGAAGAUACCAGCUGGCUGCAACUGUUUAUUAAAAACACAGCACUGUGCAAACACGAAAGUGGACGUAUACGGUGUGACGCCUGCCCGGUGCCGGAAGGUUAAUUGAUGGGGUCAGCGCAAGCGAAGCUCCUGAUCGAAGCCCCGGUAAACGGCGGCCGUAACUAUAACGGUCCUAAGGUAGCGAAAUUCCUUGUCGGGUAAGUUCCGACCUGCACGAAUGGCGUAAUGAUGGCCAGGCUGUCUCCACCCGAGACUCAGUGAAAUUGAACUCGCUGUGAAGAUGCAGUGUACCCGCGGCAAGACGGAAAGACCCCGUGAACCUUUACUAUAGCUUGACACUGAACAUUGAGCCUUGAUGUGUAGGAUAGGUGGGAGGCUUUGAAGUGUGG